This 464-nucleotide ribosomal RNA is filed under the name Vreelandella stevensii. Its description in RNAcentral is "partial 16S ribosomal RNA". It matches the Rfam family "Bacterial small subunit ribosomal RNA", at positions 339 to 795 of the family's 1533-position model. The record is from RNAcentral. Lineage: Bacteria; Pseudomonadati; Pseudomonadota; Gammaproteobacteria; Oceanospirillales; Halomonadaceae.
CUACGUGCGGCAGCAGUGGGGAAUAUUGGACAAUGGGCGAAAGCCUGAUCCAGCCAUGCCGCGUGUGUGAAGAAGGCCUUCGGGUUGUAAAGCACUUUCAGUGGGGAAGAAAGCCUUGGGGCUAAUACCCUCGAGGAAGGACAUCACCCACAGAAGAAGCACCGGCUAACUCCGUGCCAGCAGCCGCGGUAAUACGGAGGGUGCGAGCGUUAAUCGGAAUUACUGGGCGUAAAGCGCGCGUAGGCGGUCUGAUAAGCCGGUUGUGAAAGCCCCGGGCUCAACCUGGGAACGGCAUCCGGAACUGUCAGGCUAGAGUGCAGGAGAGGAAGGUAGAAUUCCCGGUGUAGCGGUGAAAUGCGUAGAGAUCGGGAGGAAUACCAGUGGCGAAGGCGGCCUUCUGGACUGACACUGACGCUGAGGUGCGAAAGCGUGGGUAGCAAACAGGAUUAGAUACCCCUGUAGUC